This 164-nucleotide ribosomal RNA is filed under the name uncultured bacterium. RNAcentral's name for it is "partial 16S ribosomal RNA". It matches the Rfam family "Bacterial small subunit ribosomal RNA", at positions 1340 to 1500 of the family's 1533-position model. The record is from RNAcentral.
AAUGGCAGGUCAGCAUACUGCCGUGAAUACGUUCCCGGGCCCUUGUACACACCGCCCGUCACACCAUGAGAGUUGGGGAUACCCGAAGCCUGUGAGCUAACUAUUUAUAGGAGCAGCAGUCGAAGGUAGAAUCAAUGAUUGGGGUGAAGUCGUAACAAGGUAUC